Astyanax mexicanus (Mexican tetra) is the source of this 315-nucleotide long non-coding RNA. RefSeq lists it as uncharacterized. The transcript is spliced from 3 exons. Lineage: Eukaryota; Metazoa; Chordata; Actinopteri; Characiformes; Acestrorhamphidae. The record is from RefSeq and is a predicted model, not a curated record.
GUAAGUCCAGGUCAAGUCUUAAACCUUUGGGGUGCAAGGUCAGGUCAAAUCUUGAAACACUGGGGUGCAAGGUCAGGUCAAAUCUUGAAAUUCUGGUUUGCAAGGUCAGGUCAAAUCUUGAAACUCUGGGGUUCAAUGUCAGGUCAAAUCUUGAAACUCUGGGGUUCAAGGUCAGGUCAAAUCUUGAAACUCUGGGGUUCAAUGUCACGUCACAUCUUGCAACUCUAGGGUGCAAGGUUAGGUCAAAUCUUGAAAUUCUGGGGUGCAAGGUCAGGUCAAAUCUUAAAUCUCUGGGGUUCAAGGUCAGGUCAAAUC